Long non-coding RNA from Vespa mandarinia (Asian giant hornet), 1023 nucleotides. Lineage: Eukaryota; Metazoa; Arthropoda; Insecta; Hymenoptera; Vespidae. The record is from RefSeq and is a predicted model, not a curated record.
UAAUGAUACGCAGAACCAAUCGUCAUCGUGUAGUAUGAUCAAAUAAUAUUAGAACGUGAAUUAUUUAUUGUUCGAUCUCUUGUUUAUUAGAUAGUCAUCAUUAUAAAAUCAAUUUAUCUUAGGAUAUCGGUUCUAACCGAACGCGCAAGCGUUCUCCUUUACCAUUCAAUAUACGUAUUCCCAGGCGUUAUCUAUGCAAUUGCAAUUUCGAGAUUCACGCAGAGCGAGCACUCUGCCGACGUUGAGAAGCCAUCCGGAAGUCCGUUUCGUAAGAAUUUAAGAAGCGAGGAUGUAAUACAAUAGGUAUACCGCUAAUUGGAAGGAUAAUGAGAGGGAAAUAAAAAGAGAAAAAGAGAGAGAGAGAUAAUGCAAUAUCAUCUUUACAAAUUCAUAUAAAUUCAUUGAGAAAUUCAACUAUGUUAAUACGAAUAUUGGUUAUUUAAUAUCAAAUAACAGAUAAUGAACGUACACUAGUAAUGAAAACUCGUGAUACAUCUAUUCGAUAACGUCAGAACAUGACUCACAAAAUAAAAAUUGAAGAUUUCUAUCUGUCAAGUAUAAACGAUUCUUCAGUUUGCAGUUGCAUCUUCUACAAGAAGAUCGUCAAUAUCUGAAAAUUUUGUUCACAUCAUUGAAAUAUCACGGAUAUUGAAAAUAAAACAUCAAUGUAAUCAAAGUGAACGAUAUCGUUUAUAAUAUUAUUUUCUAAUAUCAUUGAAAGAUAUCAAGAACGAAAUCGUGUUUAAUAUUAAAUUUGUAUAAUUAAUCUCAAUCACGAUGCUUUGGCAAAGAGUAAUAAGAGAGAGAAAAAAAUAAUAUACCAAGUACUAACGUAACAUUUAAUAAUUAAUAUCGUUUUCUCUAAAAACUAAAUUACAAUAUUAUCGUUAUUAUAAAGGUACCUUGUUGGAUCGAAAUUUGGAACAUUUUUAAAAUCAUAUUUCUUAAUUUAAAGGAAAAGAAAAAAAAAAAGAAAAAAAAAAGAAAAAAAAAUAGAGAAUAUUUUAAUUGACAUGGGUGGAA